UCCUGAUUGACCAAUUGGUGAGAUGUUCUCCCCGGUUCAUGCUGAUGGUGCCAGAAUGCACGAACUAACCUUUGGGGAGGGGAAUAAAAAUAAAAAGGAAAAAGGUAAAAAGUUAGUCUGGAUUCGAAUAAAUAAUAUUUCAAUAUUUAAACACAUUGUGCGGGAAUAUAAAUCGCCUCCUAGUUUGGGUGCCUCGUUUGUGCCCGAGGUAGGCCUAGCGACAAAUAAAAUUUGGAGAACUCAUAACACCAAGUGACUCAAUUUAUCGAUAGAAAAUAGAACGAGUCAAAACAAACUGAAAAAAAGAGAAAUUGUUACUAAUGGCCAGUGGCUUUAUUACACCAGGAAAGCAGUAAAAAUCCUAACUACUUGGUCCCCGAAGGACCUUCCCUAGAUUCAAUAUCUUUGCCUCCCUCGUAAGCUGCAUCAACUCGCGCAGUCCUAGCAACAAGUAAGCCCGAGCCAAGUGCCCACCAUCGUUACCUUCAGCUUCCUGACAGUCAUUGAUCCUUUUCAGAAAUUUGCCUUCCAACUCCAGUAGACCUCGCUCCAAGUACCCUAAGUGGUUGUUUGCAUGGACAGCCAUGUCCUUCCAUUCAUUGAUUAGUUUCUCUUGGGCCUAUUGUAUUUCCCGAUGCUCACUUUCGCACUCUCGCAUUUGUUUGCGUAGCUGAUUAUACUUGACAUUUGCUGCAUUCUUCUCAUCAAUAAGCCUGUGACCAUGGAUGAAACCUGGCUUUCCCAAGCCGAUGUGAUCAUCUUCUAACCAUCCUAGAUAAAGCAGCGCAUGCCCUGCCCGAUACCUGUCUGGUUCCAUAGAUUCCUUUUCCAAGAUCAGUUUGGAAUGCCACAUAUGAUGAGCCCGACACCUGUGUGGGCUAUCGUCAUCUUGGAAGUCAGCCCGGGUAGUGACUCAUCUUUUUUACAUUUGGUAUAAUCUGCUUUCUUCCUGCUUGUCUCAUGACUCGGGGACAUAAUGGUAAGCUCCUCUUAAGCCGAUGAAUAUAAGGAAUGGAGCAGACCAAAUGAUUAACACUCCGGUUGGAAACCACUCGUACAUCUAUUGUACCUGCUCUUUUUUCAGAUUCUCCAACAGUUACACCCAUUCACUGGCGUUUUUCGGGCGAGCGAACAUAUCCUGCAUGAAGUGCAUUCGCUUUGGAUAAUGGAAAGGAUUGUCAUCCCAGUAUCGGUGUAUGAUCUCCUGUCUGUAAUCUCCCUUCUGAAGAUGUUCAACAAGCCAGAGUUUUAGUAGCAAAUUGCACCCUUCAAAAUGUGGUGGCCCUUCUUGACAUUUCUCUAAGGCUCGGCAUAGUUCGGCGAGGAUCAUGUUUGCUAUGCUAAAUGUCUGCCCGUAGAUACCCUCCAUUAUGGCUUUGGUUACCAUGGCUAGUCUUGUAUGGAUUCUAGCCUUCUUCAUACAGUUCAGCGAGGAUCAGGGGCGCUAUGGUGAAUGUUUGUCCGUCGAUACCCUCCAUUGUGGCUUUGGUCACCAUGGUUAGUCUUGUAUGGAUCCUAGCCUUCUUCAUUGGAAAGACUAUCAUGCCUAGGAAAUAGAACAUGAAUACAAAGGCUCUCCUAUGUAUGUGCCCCAAAGAGGUGAGGGCGAACUCGUCCAUGUGAGUGCGGUAGGAUUUGCUAUGUUUGAACCUUUCAUACAUGAAAUCGAAGAUAUGUAGGAGUCUUUCAUACUCGUCAGAUUAGGAUUCUUCUUGAGCCCCAUCAUUUUUAGGAACCCUCUAGCUUUGCGGUUUUCUGGCAUACGCAGCCUCGGGCUAUCCCAAGGAAUUCCGGCUAGACCCCCAAUUUCCUCCAACAGCGGCGUCAUUUCAAUACCCCCAUAGCGGAAGAUAGAUCAUUCACUCUCCAAAAUAUACUAGCAGCGUCCACAAUCUUGUUAUCUGGCCUAACUUCUAGGAGUGAAGAAAGAUUUCCCAAAGCGGAAGACAGGCCGUUCAUUAUCCCAAAACAGAGUAGCAGCUUCCACAAUCUUGUUAUCUGGCCUAACUUCCAAGAGUGAGGGAAGAUUCCCUAAGUGCUUGCGGACAAGAACCUGAUCACUACCAUGCAAAUCUUCCCACCACCUUAGUAACUUUGGGUGAAUGUCUGAUACCAUAUCGAAUCUGGGGACCUCUUGCAUCAUUUCGUGCAAAAUAGAGUGUUAGGCCCAAACCCCACCGGACUCGACUAUUUAAAUCAAUAAUUAGCAAAAGUCUUUUAGUUCUCCAAAUCAAUGCAGUUAACGUGAAUGUAUGUUUGGGUUUCAGGAACCCGAUGGACUUUGGUUUUGGCUAUCUUAAUGAGUCAUUAUGCGGAAGACAUAAAUGACAUGGCUAAGUUGACCACGAUGCAUGAACAGUAUAACGUAAUAUGGUUUCUACUUUUGAAGUGAUAGACAAGGUACCCUAGAGAGGACAACUCAGGAGGGAAAGGGGCUAACCGUCGAUUACACCGUUGAUCGACUAGUUUUACCGCAAUAUGCCGUUGCCAUAUUUAGGGGUUCAUAAUAUUGGAAGAGGGCAACCACUCAUAAUAAACGUUGCUAUAGGAUUUGUUUGGCACGGGUGGAAAAUAAUGUUGAACGAUGCAAUUACAACAAUGAAAUAAAUACAUGUAUUUUCACGUUCAUAAGAUAAUGAUUACAAUAGGUACUCGAAAUUUAAGACGGGAUUGAAUGAAGUUAAAGCAGUUAAAGAGAAAAAAAAAGAAAACAAGAAGAAGAAAGUUAGUAAUUAUGAAGAAAUAAUUAAAGCGGUAAAUAAAGGCAGUAAAGAAACCAACAAAGUCACAAAGCACGUAAUGAUGAAAGCCUUAAAGAAUCCCCAGCAGAGUCGCCAUGCUGUCGACACCCCCUUUUUCGGCUACUAAAAAACAGAAGCGGGAUCGGGUUUACGACAUUAUUGACGAAACAACUCUAAUUCCCGUUUGGGAAUUAGGUAUUGGAAGUUGAAGAGUCUCCAUCCAAUGAUUAUAGUGCAUUAGGACACUUUUAAGAAGAAGAGGGUAUUUUUUUAAGGAAAACCAGAGUUCGGGUAAAGGCUUGAAAUUAUCUCGAGGGAAAGGUGCUCGGCACCCCUCAAGAUCCACUAGUGUGGUUCCCGGCCGUGCUAACUGUGACUUUAAUAAGGCAAAUAAACAAACAAGGCUCACAUAUAAAGUAUUUAAGCAACUUAAGAAUUUUAAAAGGGAAAGGCGUAAUUUAAAUAAAAGCAGAAAGAAGAAAGGCAUACUUUUAGGAAAAACAUGUUUAAAUAGGGCAAGCAAAAGAGAAGGAGGUCCUAGGUUUGACUAUCAUAUGGAUCAUUUGAUACAAUAUCCCGCACAUAUUCCCAAAGAGAGGUAGCUUAAUGAUAUCAUCGCAUUUUCAUCUUCUCCGUAUUCUAAUCCCACCCGUAAAGGUUAUUUAAGCGUAUAGAUUGGUCACGAAUACUCAUCGCGUGCUAUUACCCGUCCCAUUCUAUUGAUCCUAGAGGGCAUUUAGUAUCAUUAUUCCUAUAAGGUAGGAUCUAGUCUAAACCCCUAGGUUCAAAGGUUAAAAUUCUAAACGAUAUACAAGAACAAAUAGGACUUGCACAUAAAAGGGAGUCAUACAAGCAUGUAAACGGCUCACAUAUCCCUCUAUACACGAACACAUAAUUAGCACAACUCGAAAACAUUUUAGGUAUAAGGAAGGAAGAGUCUUUCAAAAAACUGGCGUAUAAAUUAAAACAGAUGUUUGGAGGUUUUGCAGAAAAGUAAUACAAGGGAAAGCGUUCAGAACUUUCAAAGAGGCAUUAGCAGUUUUAGAAAAAAAUCUACAGAUGUAUCAAAAAAAUAUUUGCGGAACACAUCUUUCGGACAAGCGGAGUAGAAGAACAAAUAUGGAAGUAGCUUGAGAUUGCAGAAGUAUAAUGAAAAACAUAUCAAGUUUUAAACCUUUAAAAUUUAUAAUAUUCAGAUAGCUUAAAAAAGUAGCCCAGUGCUGGACGAGAAAACACAGUAGAAACAUUUGCGUAUAUGGCUUUGAAAAUAGUAGUCCAGCUCUGGAAAAAGUGUAAAUCGCUCGCAUAAGAACAAAAAUAGGGCAGAAGUUUAUAAAAAUUAGAGAGAUAUGAGUUCAGGCGUAGGUGGAUUAGUUCGAACGUGACUUAGAGAUGGAUAACGCAUUUUACUCGGCCUAAUGCUUGCCUAUGCAUUAUUAGAGAAUGGUGCGGCAAAUUUUCCUAAGGGUUCGUUUGAACCCCUGGCCAAUACCAAACACCCAAAGUAUCAUUAUUAGACAGAUGCAAAUGGGGAAGUGCCAGCCUUGUGUAUCAAAGUUCAAUGGGCGCUCAAGGGCUCCCAAGGCAAUGCUUAUACUAAGGGGGUAGAGCUUAGUGUUCUAAGAGUAGUGAAGUUGUGAUAAGAUUGCGAGAGUUUAAAACUGUCGAGAGUCAAUUUAAGAAAACAGCAGAAGAAUUUGAGAGACAGUUUGAAAAACCGUUUAAGAGAGUAUAAAGGGUUCUUUUGAAAUCAUUGGUACUAACAGAGAAUCACACAAACAGGGGAAAAGGGGAAGGGAAUAGAUAAAUACAGGGACCAACUCACACACAUGCAAACAAAAUGAAGGAAAGUAAUCAGACACAGUUGUAGAACAACAUGGGUUUAGUUCUUACUACACCUAACCCCCAUACACUUAACCUCAGGAAUAGGCUUAGGCUAAUCAAGUAGCCAAGCAACCCUGGACAUAUGGUAGUAAUGCACAAGGAAAAGUAAAGAUUCAAUUAGACAGGGAAAGGGGUAAGGGGAACAUGCUAGUCUAAGCUAUGUGGGCUAGUAAGUGCACACUAGUGACAAUAAGAACAGCAAAACCAUAGAUAAAAGAACACAAGGAACAAGAUGAAGUGCAGGAUUAACAGAGGUAUAUUGUUUUGGGGGAUAUAUACUAAAUAGAUGACAUACUAGUUGCAAACAGACAGAACACAAAGAACAAUGAGCAAGAGUGCACAGAGAGAGCAAAGUGAGCAGAGAAUAUGAGAAGCAAAGAGAAUAGGGGUGUGCAGCACAGUGUGAGAAUGGCAGUUUGCAGCAAAGAGAGCAACAUGCAAAUAAGAGAAUUAGAGAGUAUAGAAAUAGCAGAGAAAGAGAGAAUUUCAGGGAGUUUUUGUGAGAGAUAUGAAAUUUCCCUUUAAAGAGAAUGGGGAGGAGUAUUUAUAGUACUAAAACGAGUACAUAAACAGAGAAGCAAUCCUUAAUUAAGGAACUAGCAUCAAUUAAAUCAAAUUAGAAUAAGGACUCCCCUUUAAUUAAGGAGUCUAAUACAAACAUUAACAAGCAGAGGUUUUAAAGGAAAUGAAUCAAUUAAACUACUGUAUUUACCCUAGUAAGAAUAGUAUCGCACAUAAUAUGCAAUAGGGGUUAGAUACAUGAUAAUCCAAUUAAGGAAAAUUUAAGCUGAAGAUUCAAACGACUGUUUAUGGACAAAUAUGGUAAGGUAUAUGAAAUUAACUCUGAAAAUUAGUCCAAGAAUCACGGACAAAACCAAAUAUAGGAAACAUCUCACAAGCAAGAAAAUAAUUCAAAAUUGGUGUAAAAACCUUUAAGAAAAAAACUCAUACGAAUUAGGGAUCUAGAGAUAUGGACAGAAUCAGUGGCAUAUUACAUGAGUGGUGAUCAAUUAAACCUAUAAAGCCUAAUAGACACGAAAAUCAGAGAACCCUAAGCAAGUAAGCAUGGAAGCACAAAGAGUUGGAACCAUAGCAAGAAAAAUUAAAUCAUGGAACUCAGGUUAACAAGGAAACCGGACAAUCAAGCACGAACAAAUGCAUAACACUCAAAAAAAAAAAAGCAACAGACCUACGAUUUUGAAAAUGGGUCAGAAACCCUAAUUUUGAGAAAAGAGAAAAAUCAUCGGAAAUCAUGAAUAAUCAGAAAUACUAAGUGAGAAACAGAGUAAAAAACAAAAAUCAGACUAAAAAUCGUUUUAAAAGAACAAUGAUUAGAGAGAUUUGAGUAAAGAUUAGGGUUUGCAAAUAAAAUCAAGAAAACGAGGAACCUAGCCGUGAAACUCAUAAAUAAUUCCAUACGUAACAUUAUCGUGUAAAAACCACCGGAGAAAGACCGGCACAAACCCAGGCGAGAUUCAAUUGACUGUCUUCCAUGGCUGAAGCUUCUGGACUUCGAGUCUGAGAGAGGAAUAGUGAGAUGAGGUACCAUGGUGAAUGGCGGUUGAGAGGAGUGAAGGCGGAGGCGUCCGGAACGGCAGUGGAAGCCAUCGGAGAAGAGAGAGGAUCGAAGGUUCUAGAGAGAACUUCAGAGACGAGGGUUUAGAGAGAGAGACGGG
Molecule: long non-coding RNA, 6301 nt
Filed under: Nicotiana benthamiana
Lineage: Eukaryota; Viridiplantae; Streptophyta; Magnoliopsida; Solanales; Solanaceae
Description: long non-coding RNA (NBEN_LNC034797)
Source: RNAcentral